ACGGAAUUUACUUCAAGAGUCAUGGAAUCCAAGGGCAAACAAGGAGAGCUUUGCCGGCUCUGCAGUUGAGAUUCUACGAAUAGUGGAUGAGACAAUAGAUGCUUUCUUCCAGCUGCCCAUACCAAUGCACCCUGCCUUGCUUCCAGACUUGAUAACUGGACUCGAUAGAAGCUUGGUACAUUAUGUAUCCAAGGCAAAGUCUGGCUGCGGGACCAAAAAUACUUAUAUUCCUGCGAUGCCAGCCCUAACCAGAUGUGAGAUUGGCUCAAAGUUGUUCAGGAAAAAGGAGAAACCACAGACUUUACAGAGAAGGA
RNAcentral lists this unclassified non-coding RNA (314 nucleotides) under Hevea brasiliensis (rubber tree). The record is from RNAcentral. Lineage: Eukaryota; Viridiplantae; Streptophyta; Magnoliopsida; Malpighiales; Euphorbiaceae.